Triticum aestivum (bread wheat) is the source of this 1111-nucleotide long non-coding RNA. RefSeq lists it as uncharacterized. NCBI's taxonomy places the organism in Eukaryota, Viridiplantae, Streptophyta, Magnoliopsida, Poales, Poaceae. The record is from RefSeq and is a predicted model, not a curated record. The transcript is spliced from 3 exons.
CCAAACCGGCAACGCGCCCGCCACCCCGCCCCCAACCGGCGGUGGCGCCGCCACCGGCCGACAUCACCCCCCUCUUCCCGAGAUCCUCUUCGACGCCACUACACCACCGGCGAACCUCGCGCGCCGCCGCCCGCUGCAAACCUCGCGCGCCACGGCCUCUUACCGAAUCCAACCGGCGGAGCUCGCCACGGCAACCACCGCGUUCUUCCUCUCGCCGCCGCCCUGGAGAGGAACCUCCCAAACAUGCGCCACGGUGGAGCUCGCCUGCCCCAGUGCCUCUUCUCCACGCAUGCCCUUCUUCCUCGCCGGAGCUGAUGUGGGCCGCCACAUCACCCCGCUGGCCGGGAUCCCCCUCCCCUGCCCCCGCGCCGUCCUGGCCGGCCACACUGACCUUCUCAUGAGAGCCACCUUGACCUUCCUGGAAUAAGGUUCAUCCAUGGAGCGGCCGCUCCCGCCCCUCCAUCUCCGGCGAGGUGCGCCAUCCCCUCCUUCAGUGCCCCCUUCGGGUGAAGCUCCACGCCACCACCAUCGUCACGCCAUUCCAGCCACUAGCACGCACAUGUUGUUCUCCUCGUGACGGCCAACUUGAACUUCCUGAGCGUCUCAAUAGCCAUGGAGAAACCUGAAGAUGCAGUUGGAGAAAAGGAAGGGCUAAAGAGGGUAAGGCGUCAUGGACUAGUGGUAAAACAAGCUUUCUUGUACCAAUGAUGAAGGAGUGUGGAUGCAACAAACUUCUGUGUUCAAAAUUGAUGGACAAAGGAGUUGCAGCACACAGAGCAAAACCUAUCUCAGGUACCUCUCACACUAAGGUCCAGAGGGAGUGACAGCGCCGGGGAGAGCAGCACAACAACGAUGACGAAUGCCAGAACGUACAGGCGGCGCUCCGACAAGAGGCCGUGCUUGCCGUCGGCCUCCUUUGCAUCUUCUUCCACGAGUGUUUCUAGUAGGGCUCGAUGUUUAUUAAAAAAGAGUAAGACAUUUACACUUUUCUUCAGGAAGACAUUUGUAAGUCAAAAAACAUGAACUUUUCUUCAACAACGAUGUAAUGCCUGAGAACAAAGUUCUGCUAUGCCUGAGAAUAUAUGGAGUACGUGGCUGGUGUUUAUGCAAA